CCUACGGGAGGCAGCAGUGAGGAAUAUUGGUCAAUGGGCGCGAGCCUGAACCAGCCAAGUAGCGUGAAGGAUGACUGCCCUACGGGUUGUAAACUUCUUUUAUAAAGGAAUAAAGUGAGGCACGUGUGCCUUUUUGUAUGUACUUUAUGAAUAAGGAUCGGCUAACUCCGUGCCAGCAGCCGCGGUAAUACGGAGGAUCCGAGCGUUAUCCGGAUUUAUUGGGUUUAAAGGGAGCGUAGAUGGGUUGUUAAGUCUGGUGUUAAAUGCAGAAGCUCAACUUCUGUUCGGCACUGGAUACUGGUAAGCUUGAAUGCGGUAGAGGUAAAGGGAAUUCCUGGUGUAGCGGUGAAAUGCGUAGAUAUCAGGAGGAACAUCGGUGGCGUAAGCGCUUUACUGGGCCGUAAUUGACACUGAGGAACGAAAGCCGGGGUAGCAAAUGGGAUUAGAUACCCCUGUAGUC
RNAcentral lists this ribosomal RNA (460 nucleotides) under uncultured bacterium. RNAcentral's name for it is "partial 16S ribosomal RNA". It matches the Rfam family "Bacterial small subunit ribosomal RNA", at positions 338 to 795 of the family's 1533-position model. The record is from RNAcentral.